UACGUAGGCAGCGAGCGUUGUUCGGAAUUACUGGGCGUAAAGAGUGUGUAGGCGGUGCUCUACGUUCGGUGUGAAAUCUCCUGGCUCAACUGGGAGGGUGCGCCGGAAACUGGAGUGCUUGAGCGUGGGAGAGGAAAGCGGAAUUCCUGGUGUAGCGGUGAAAUGCGUAGAUAUCAGGAGGAACACCUGUGGUGUAGAUGGCUUUCUGGACCAUAGCUGACGCUGAGACACGAAAGCGUGGGUAGCAAACAGG
RNAcentral lists this ribosomal RNA (253 nucleotides) under uncultured bacterium. RNAcentral describes it as "partial 16S ribosomal RNA". It matches the Rfam family "Bacterial small subunit ribosomal RNA", at positions 524 to 776 of the family's 1533-position model. The record is from RNAcentral.